AGAGACUAACCUUCAAAGAAACCAAAAAGCCGCCGUGAAUUCCCACCAUCAUUAGUGGCAGAGCCACCUCAAAUCCACACCAUAUUCACACCAUAACACCCUCUUCCUUCCCUCAUGUCAAAUCAGUCGUUGGUUUUCCUCGAAUUAGUGGGAAACUCGUUGAAUCUUCAAUCAAAUACUAGACAAAAACCCAAACCUUCCCCAAAUCACCCCAAUAUCACACCGUAAAUCCCCUUCUCCCCCUCAUCCCAAAUACCCACCUGGUUUCCCUCAAAUCCCCUUCAAGCUGCCCGAAUCUUGAAUCAAAGAAAAGCCAU
Molecule: long non-coding RNA, 317 nt
Filed under: Nicotiana benthamiana
Lineage: Eukaryota; Viridiplantae; Streptophyta; Magnoliopsida; Solanales; Solanaceae
Description: long non-coding RNA (NBEN_LNC035418)
Source: RNAcentral